Molecule: long non-coding RNA, 1001 nt
Organism: Neltuma alba
Lineage: Eukaryota; Viridiplantae; Streptophyta; Magnoliopsida; Fabales; Fabaceae
Exons: 2
Source: RefSeq, a predicted model, not a curated record
CCAGCGUCAACGAAACAAAGGGGGAGACCGAGAGGGAGUAAACGCUGAGAGUGAGAGGGAGAUCGAAGCAGAGGAAGUUUUGACGGAGAGCCAGUCACGUGCGAAUCGGUUUUUGAACCAAGGUCAGAUUCCCGGAGAUUAAGACUAAGGAAACGAAAGUGCUCAAGUUUAAUAUAGAAUCAGUGAUUUAUGGUUGUUUUGAUGCUUAAUAUAUGACUCUCAUGAGGAUUGAAUCUGGCUUGCUGCUGCUGUUCGAAUCCGUUUGGCCCAAGGCUGAUAUAGAUAUAUACACACUUUGUUGCUUGAUGAAGUUGGUUAUAGAAGUGUCUUCGAAUCCCAACCCUGUUCUGCUACGUGAAGCUGCAAUUAUACGGUGUAAGUUGAAAUGGGAAUUUGAAUAAUAGAAGAACAUGAUGCUUUGAGAUAUAUAGAUGUUCGUGUGCUGUGAUAUGUGUAUAAACAUAUAUUUUCUGAUUUAUUUGGUGAUGAAGGUUAGGGGUAUCAAUUUUUGAAGCUGAAAACAAUGAGAGACCUAUUGAUCCAUGUGGUGAAAACCCGCGCGCGGAACACACACACAUAUUUGUAGGGUUGCGUAUGAUUAAGGGAGACUUUUGGGUCUAAAUUGUUGCGGUGGCAACCCAAUUCAAAGUUGUUGCUGAAUACUUCUCAAUGACAAAUAAUUGCUUAAAUGAUUCAAUCAAGUAGAGAGACUUUAGAAUGAUGACGUGAAGCUCACUGACUGAUGUUGAACGAUUAAGCAUAUAAGUUGAUAAGAUUAUGAUUUUGAUCCUGAAAAGAAAGGUUUGGAAUAAUGAUUGUGAGAACUACAAAUAUAUAGUUAAAGGAUACUGUCAAGAGCUUGAGUAUCAAGCACUAAUUAAGGGAUAGUUACAGAAGCUAGAGAUAAUGUUUACGAAGUUGAAAGUUGAAGAAGACUUAUUAUUGAUUACCUAUAAAUGUUAGCAAUUGUUUUUAUAAUGGUUAAAAUCAUUUGGAAAGAA